Molecule: unclassified non-coding RNA, 219 nt
Filed under: Hevea brasiliensis (rubber tree)
Lineage: Eukaryota; Viridiplantae; Streptophyta; Magnoliopsida; Malpighiales; Euphorbiaceae
Source: RNAcentral
GAAAAAUUAAAAACUUUUACUAUGAGAGGAAGAAGGUACCACAAAUACAAAAGCAGAUCUUAAUGAAGGGGAUGAUCUCACGUGGAGAUACCUGUGGAUAUUUUUUAACACCGGAAUGAUCCACCACCAUUCUUAACAUAUUUCCAACCUUUUUUGUUUUUCUUCUGCAUCUUUGCUUCGAUGCUUUUCUUCCACACACACCUGAUACUAUUGGUUAAC